RNAcentral lists this small RNA (197 nucleotides) under Streptomyces subrutilus. RNAcentral describes it as "c-di-AMP sequence". It matches the Rfam family "c-di-AMP riboswitch aptamer (ydaO/yuaA leader)". From Rfam's summary of the family: This family represents a conserved RNA structure found upstream of the ydaO and yuaA genes in Bacillus subtilis and related genes in other bacteria. The ydaO/yuaA element is thought to act as a genetic "off" switch for the ydaO and yuaA genes in its native state. It is believed that the element may be triggered during osmotic shock leading to activation of ydaO, a predicted amino acid transporter gene, and members of the yuaA-yubG operon which code for KtrA and KtrB K+ transporters. The record is from RNAcentral. Lineage: Bacteria; Bacillati; Actinomycetota; Actinomycetes; Kitasatosporales; Streptomycetaceae.
CGCCUAAUCCUGCCGCCUCCCGGAAACCGCACCCGACUAUUAACGCGCGCGGCAGGAGCGGGGGAACCAGGUAAGCCGCCGUCCCGGAUCCUUCUCCGGAACGGCUAGGGGUGAAGCCGUACAUGCUCCGUUCAUGUACGGCCGGACAUCUCCAGUCCGAACCCGACAGCUCACCUCGCAGGCGACGGAGAGGAAUU